CCCCGGUGAUUUAGUUUAGGGCGCCAUACCCGAUCCCAUUCCGAACUCGGAAGUAAAAGCCCUAAACGCCGAUGAUAGUCCUUCGGGGCGAAAGUAGGUUUUGCCGGGGA
RNAcentral lists this ribosomal RNA (110 nucleotides) under Candidatus Jorgensenbacteria bacterium RIFCSPLOWO2_12_FULL_42_11. The record is from RNAcentral. RNAcentral also lists the same sequence under 1 other name. Lineage: Bacteria; Candidatus Joergenseniibacteriota.